CGGCGAUGGCAUCAGACCCGAACUUCGCAAAAGGAUGGCUGAGUUCAAACGUGCUUCCGUUUUACCCGGCGAGUGAAAUUAUCGUAAUUAACGUCGGAAAUGAGGUUAUGUCUUCAAAUGAUCAGAAUCUGAUGACGAAUUUGUUGCCGGCGAUGCAAAAUUUACGAAAAGCCCUAAAUGAUGUUUCAAUUGGAGGGAAAAUUAAGGUCUCUACGGUUCAUUCUAUGGCGGUUAUGAAGCAAUCGGAUCCUCCGUCUUCUGGAAGUUUCGACCCGAAUAUUGGGGAUUUGUUGAAAGGAUUGUUGGAGUUCAAUAAAGCUACUGGUUCUCCUUUCGCCAUUAAUCCUUAUCCGUUUUUCGCUUAUCAGAGUGAUCCUAGACCUGAUACUUUAGCUUUUUGCUUGUUUCAACCUAAUGCUGGUCGAGUUGAUGCUGGCACCAAGAUCAAGUACACCAACAUGUUCGAUGCUCAGGUGGAUGCAAUAAGAGCAGCGCUUAACGCUAUGGGAUUCAAGGAAGUAGAGAUUGUGAUUGCG
This 536-nucleotide unclassified non-coding RNA is filed under the name Hevea brasiliensis (rubber tree). The record is from RNAcentral. Lineage: Eukaryota; Viridiplantae; Streptophyta; Magnoliopsida; Malpighiales; Euphorbiaceae.